Molecule: non-coding RNA, 118 nt
Organism: Aedes albopictus (Asian tiger mosquito)
Lineage: Eukaryota; Metazoa; Arthropoda; Insecta; Diptera; Culicidae
Source: Rfam
UGCCCAGCAACUCCUAUCACUACCUCCACGCGGUACCGGCCGGAAACUAUGAGCAACCUUAGGGAAGAUCGGGUAACCAACCCCGGUGGGAACUUUGGUCGUAGGCUGACAGGGAAGG